AGUCGAGCGGACUGAUGGGAGCUUGCUCCCUGAUGUUAGCGGCGGACGGGUGAGUAACACGUGGGCAACCUACCUGUAAGACUGGGAUAACUCCGGGAAACCGGGGCUAAUACCGGAUAACCCGUUCCUCCUCAUGGAGGGACGGUAAAAGAUGGCUUCUUGCUAUCACUUACAGAUGGGCCCGCGGCGCAUUAGCUAGUUGGUAAGGUAAUGGCUUACCAAGGCGACGAUGCGUAGCCGACCUGAGAGGGUGAUCGGCCACACUGGGACUGAGACACGGCCCAGACUCCUACGGGAGGCAGCAGUAGGGAAUCUUCCGCAAUGGACGAAAGUCUGACGGAGCAACGCCGCGUGAGUGAUGAAGGUUUUCGGAUCGUAAAGCUCUGUUGUUAGGGAAGAACAAGUGCCGUUCGAAUAGGGCGGCACCUUGACGGUACCUAACCAGAAAGCCACGGCUAACUACGUGCCAGCAGCCGCGGAAUACGUAGGUGGCAAGCGUUGUCCGGAAUUAUUGGGCGUAAAGCGCGCGCAGGCGGUCUUUUAAGUCUGAUGUGAAAGCCCACGGCUCAACCGUGGAGGGUCAUUGGAAACUGGGAGACUUGAGUACAGAAGAGGAGAGUGGAAUUCCACGUGUAGCGGUGAAAUGCGUAGAUAUGUGGAGGAACACCAGUGGCGAAGGCGACUCUCUGGUCUGUAACUGACGCUGAGGCGCGAAGCGUGGGAGCAACAGGAUUAGAUACCCUGGUAGUCCACGCCGUAACGAUGAGUGCUAGUGUUAGGGGUUCGAUGCCUUAGUUGCCGAA
Molecule: ribosomal RNA, 803 nt
Filed under: Alkalihalophilus pseudofirmus
Lineage: Bacteria; Bacillati; Bacillota; Bacilli; Caryophanales; Bacillaceae
Description: bacterial SSU rRNA
Rfam family: Bacterial small subunit ribosomal RNA
Source: RNAcentral